GACCCUGUCAGGACACAGCAUGGACAUGAGGGUCCCUGCUCAGCUCCUGGGGCUCCUGCUGCUCUGGCUCCCAGGUACCAGAUGUGACAUCCAGAUGACCCAGUCUCCAUCCUCCCUGUCUGCAUCUGUAGGAGACAGAGUCACCAUCACUUGCCGGGCGAGUCAGAGCAUUAGCAAUUCUUUAGCCUGGUAUCAGCAGAAACCAGGGAAAGCCCCUAAGCUCCUGAUCUAUGCUGCAUCCAGAUUGGAAAGUGGGGUCCCAUCCAGGUUCAGUGGCAGUGGAUCUGGGACGGAUUACACUCUCACCAUCAGCAGCCUGCAGCCUGAAGAUUUUGCAACUUAUUACUGUCAACAGUAUUAUAGUACCCC
Molecule: long non-coding RNA, 369 nt
Filed under: Pan troglodytes (chimpanzee)
Lineage: Eukaryota; Metazoa; Chordata; Mammalia; Primates; Hominidae
Description: long non-coding RNA NONPTRT010582
Source: RNAcentral